AUCCAGACUCCUACGGGAGGCAGCAGUGGGGGAUAUUGCACAAUGGGGGGAACCCUGAUGCAGCGACGCCGCGUGGGUGAAGGAGCGUUUCGGCGCGUAAAGCCCUAUCGGCAGGGAAGAAGGAGGACGGUACCUGACUAAGAAGCCCCGGCUAACUACGUGCCAGCAGCCGCGGGAAUACGUAGGGGGCAAGCGUUAUCCGGAUUCACUGGGUGUAAAGGGAGCGUAGACGGCGACGCAAGUCUGGAGUGAAAGCCCGGGGCCCAACCCCGGGACUGCUCUGGGAACUGUGCGGCUGGAGUGCGGGAGGGGCAGGCGGAAUUCCUGGUGUAGCGGUGAAAUGCGUAGAUAUCAGGAGGAACACCGGCGGCGAAGGCGGCCUGCUGGACCGCGACUGACGUUGAGGCUCGAAAGCGUGGGGAGCAACCAGGAUUAGAUACCCCAGUA
RNAcentral lists this ribosomal RNA (447 nucleotides) under uncultured bacterium. RNAcentral's name for it is "bacterial SSU rRNA". It matches the Rfam family "Bacterial small subunit ribosomal RNA", at positions 329 to 792 of the family's 1533-position model. The record is from RNAcentral.